This 5394-nucleotide long non-coding RNA is filed under the name Oryzias javanicus (javanese ricefish). RNAcentral's name for it is "lncRNA (ENSOJAG00000012629.1)". Lineage: Eukaryota; Metazoa; Chordata; Actinopteri; Beloniformes; Adrianichthyidae. The record is from RNAcentral.
GAUGACACGUUUAGACGAUGACACGUUCAGACGAUGACACGUUCAGACGAUGACACGUUCAGACGAUGACACGUUUAGACGAUGACACGUUUAGACGAUGACACGUUUAGACGAUGACACGUUCAGACGAUGACACGUUUAGACGAUGACACGUUUAGACGAUGACACGUUUAGACGAUGACACGUUCAGACGAUGACACGUUUAGACGAUGACACGUUCAGACGAUGACACGUUUAGACGAUGACACGUUCAGACGAUGACACGUUCAGACGAUGACACGUUCAGACGAUGACACGUUCAGACGAUGACACGUUUAGACGAUGACACGUUCAGACGAUGACACGUUCAGACGAUGACACGUUUAGACGAUGACACGUUUAGACGAUGACACGUUCAGACGAUGACACGUUCAAACGAUGACACGUUUAGACGAUGACACGUUCAGACGAUGACACGUUCAGACGAUGACACGUUUAGACGAUGACACGUUCAGACGAUGACACGUUCAGACGAUGACACGUUUAGACGAUGACACGUUCAGACGAUGACACGUUUAGACGAUGACACGUUCAGACGAUGACACGUUCAGACGAUGACACGUUUAGACGAUGACACGUUCAGACGAUGACACGUUCAGACGAUGACACGUUCAGACGAUGACACGUUCAGACGAUGACACGUUUUGACGAUGACACGUUCAGACGAUGACACGUUCUGACGAUGACACGUUCAGACGGUGACACGUUUAGACGAUGACACGUUUAGACGAUGACACGUUCAGACGAUGGCACGUUUAGACGAUGACACGUUUAGAGGAUGACACGUUUAGACGAUGACACGUUUAGACGAUGACACGUUUAGACGACCGUCCUCUCGUGUUCUUACUGGUUUCAGUCGAGGACAAAUCCCUUGAGGGACGAGCAAACCUUCACCUGGGACGCUUGCAUCUGAGGAUGACUCGGCAUGACUCAGCAGAACAGCUUUUUGAAAGCGCCAAGGAGCAUUUCCUGUCCGCACAGGAUGCAGGCGGACUCGCUGAGCUCUACAGAACCAUGGCCGAGUUUUCAGAAAGCAAAGGAAAUCCAGACGAGGUGAUAGAGUUCCUGGAGAAGUCGGCUGAGAUCUGUGAAAGCAGCCGUCUGCACAGCGAGCUCGCAGACGUCACCAUGACUCUCUGCGAGAUUUACUACAGGAAGGUAACAAACACUCGACAGCAACCGGUAAACGAAUCCAGGAGUUUUUACAUAAAGAAAAUGAUCCCCCCACAGGGUCAGUACGAUAGAGUGCGUGAGGUCGCCCUGAAGUGUUUUGACGUGUCCUGUAAGGCCGGACUCACACCUGUGCUGCUGAAAGCUCAGGUAUGACCGACCGUUACCGCGGGUUACAUUCCUGAAGAGACUCUUUCAGAAGCUGGACGUCUGCCUAACAAGCAUGUCUUUGAGGAGGGUCGGGUUCUAGGAACACGUCUUUGGUCUGUUUGGUCGGGAAUGCCGGGACACUUAAUUCUGUUAGCUUUCACAUUGCACUUUUGAGAGAGUAUCAAACUCUAAGAAUAACGGCCCAAUCCAAAUUCUCCAAUUCAUGUAUCCCUCCAAACAGAGGGUUGUGAAACAAUGGUCUUUAAUAUUUCAGACGUGACUUUCGUUCGAUGAUGUCAUCAUAAUCAAUGGUCUGCUAGCGUUAGCACGGAGCUUCCAGCGCUUGGAUAUACAUAACAACGGUUUCAUAACUUUAAAAAGUCAUUACUUGCAUUUAAUUGUAAAUUUCUGUGGUUCAGAGCACGCUUGAGAGCUAAACGGUUUACUUUCCUGAUGGUGGACUCUGGAUCCCUCUGUUUGGAGGGCGAAAUUUAAAAAAUGCUAAUCCGGACACGAUUUCGACUUCCAACUGCAACUUCAAAUUAAGGGAAAGGGAGAAGGGAAGAAUUCGGAUUGGGCCAACAUCUGUAGCUCAGGACACUGUGACGCAUAUUCAAGAACAUGAUUUAGCCCAUGGUGUUCACACUGGACAAGCGAGGAGCAACUUUCUUCUUUCCUUCUACAACUGGACCAUGACAGACGGGUGCAAAUUGGCAAAUUGUGCUCCAGGCUUUUUUUUUUUUUUUUUUGGCAGCUCUCUUCACACAAAUGAAAGACUUGGUGACACACAAUUCUUUAAUUAUUUAUACAUCUUCCAUGAUCAGUUUCCAAGCAGUUGGCUCUACCGUGAAUUGAACCGGACACCAUCCAUUCGUCACGACCAAAUCGGAGUUCCUGAGUGGUCAGCCUGGUAUAACUCUGAGUGUACAAUUAAUGACAUUUCACAAAGAGCCUGGAAACUAAUAUUGUCUAUUAUUCUGAUUUUUAUUUUUUUCUAAAUAGUUUUAGGUCGCACUGACCCUACACGUUCAGCUUUGGUAGGACCAUGUCAGUACAGAUAGUCUGAUCCUAAAAGUGCAGUUUGAAAGUAAACCAAAUCAAACAAUGUUUUGAUUUUUUUCUUUUUUUAUGAUUUAACAUUAAAUCUGACUCUAAAUGUUUCUCUUCGUUCCUAAAAUCUUAAAAACCGUCAGAGCAGUUGGUAAUCGCUCUCUUUGAUCCUCCUCUUCAUUUCUUUUAUUUUUAUCUUCUUGGUCAGACAAUGGUUGGUAUUUCAAGUGCUCAGCUGCUGAUAGAAAAACACGUUUCUGGCGGGAAGUCCUUUUCACCCGCUGCUCUGGAUCGACUCCUGAAGCGGGAGAAGACCGAAGGAUGUGGAGAGCUCAACUCUGAGUGACGUCUGACCUUCUUUUGUCUUUUACCUUAAUGUUAAGAAAAGAAAGAACCUUUUAUUUACUGUCUCAAAAAAAAGUUAUAUUCAAGUUGGAACGAUGUUAUUGACAUAAAUGACUAUUAAAGUGUUUUCAUUCAGAAAAUAUUCACAAGAUGAACUACUUUUCUUACUUUUUAAUAUAUUCUUUAUUAUAUAUGUGUCUUUUAAUUUGAUGUAUGAAAGUUGAAAUUAUAUGUAUUAAAUCACCAUCAUUUACACUUUUAUUUAGAACAGGAGAUCAGAAUCAACAAAACUGAUAAAAACAGAAAUAUUUAGAUAGAAAUGGUGCUUGUCAAUUCAAACUUUUUUGUCAGUCUUCUGGUUAAGUUCAGCAGAAACAUAAACAACAUAAAAAGCAUAAAAAAUAUUGCUUUUGGCAUAAUUUAACAACAAAACCUGAAAAUGUUCUCCACAGUUUUCUAUCCUUAAAGUUCUUCCACAUUUUAUGUUAUAAGCAUCUUCGCUUGAGAAUCUGCUGAAGUUAUGGUAAUUGUGUCAACUAUUAAUGAGUUACCAUAACCAAAGAAAUGAAAACACUGGCGCUAAAGCUCCGGUGUUUAAGCUAAUUCAUUUUUUUCAGAAGUUAUGUCAGCGAGCGGAACUUCAGUCUCAGUUUUUGAACGGAAAAAUAAGCUCUCGCUAGUUUUACUUUGAAAACAGGAAGCUUCACCAACACGAAGAUUUGUUUAGUUCCCGUGAUGGUAGCGCUGCUCUUUUUUUGUUUUGGUUUUGUUCAUACACUUAAAAUCCAACAUUAUUCUGAAUUUCAGAGUAAAAGAAUACAUCAUUCCUUGAUAAUAUUUUCCUACAUUGUAUUAUAUUUCUAAAGAAUUAGCGAAUUAGCGAUCUUUAACGUCGCGAAUAUUCAUACUUCGUGAGUAUCCGAGCACCAAAAUACUCGCUCUAGCGCGAAUCCCUUUCAACUCUGGUUCUGUUUGAGUUUAGUUGGGGUUUGUAUUAGUAUAAACCUGUAUUGUGGAUGACUAAAUGUGAAUAUGAAGCAAAAUGGGAACAAAGGUUAAGGUCAAACAGUUUCCAACGCAACAUAGAUGAAGAAAUUCUUCAGCAUAACAGAAAAUAAAUCGGCCAACAGGUGAAGUCAUAGAUAAACUUCAUUUCAGCCGCUGCACAUUAAUAGUAGACAACAAGAAAUAGCAGAAACAUGAAAACUAUUUAUAUAAUGGAGCAUGGCCACUGCUGUCCACGUUUAAGAGACCAAUGCCAGAUGGACAGAAAUGUUUAGCGUUUCCGUUCUUCUUUCUGAUCUGUAUGAAACAGCCUGAGGGAAUCACCAAGAACUCAGAGGACAGCCUGUUGGGAAGAGAUUCCUUUAGCUCUAUGGAGCAUCUGCCUCUCCCACAGAAUAUCAAGUGCCUCAGAUCUUAUAGAACAGACUUCACAAACCUGCUGUCUCUUUCAGACAGACUUCCUCAACACCAGACAGAACGAUGACUCUCAACGAAAGACAAAAAAUAUCCUGUUCCGUGUCAUAAAGGAGUUCAGCUUUGUGGGUGUGUCCGUUACUGGCACGGUUAAACAAUAUCAGUAAGCCUUUCAUCAAACUCAGUCUGAGAAUGAAGCAGUUUACUGUUUACAGCCUCGUUCCCAUAAAAUAACUUUCAAAAAGGUUCUAUAUCACCAAGGAUUUCUUUUGUUUACUCCACUUUUGGGUCAAAGACAUUUUGAUUGACCCAGAUCAUAAAACCUGGAAGGACGUUACCAUGCGGCCACUCUGACCUUUGGAUGAGGGUCAAAUGUACUUAUUAUCUGAGAAUUUAACCAACUCAGUCAGUGACCUGUCAGGUUGAAACCAUUACAUCUGACGACGUGCUGUUAACUAAAACCUGCUGUUUAACAUGAGGUUAAGGGCGUCAACAAGUAUUUAUUUAAACGCAAAUGGACAGGAAAGCCAUUGAAUUGUGUGAUUGAGUAAAUAUUUAAGUGUAGUUUUAUAGAAAAAGAAUAUAAAGAAAAUUAACAUUUUCUUUUUCAAAAACAAAAUGAUAUAAAAUAUACCACUUCAAAGAUUAACAUAUCUUGGUAUUUAAGCUAAAUAGUUUCUCUGUUGCAUUUUUUAUUUUUUUUAUUUUGUGGCUUUGAUUUUUUUUAAUUUCCAUAUAAUUUUAUCAUUUACCAGUUAAAAUUUUUUAAACAUAUUUGAUAUAUAAGCUACCUAUUUUUCUGUAGUUUUUUCGGGGUUUUUUUUAUUCAACAUUUGAUCAUAUUACAAAUUUUAAUAUUAACAUUUUGUGUAUUUUUUUUCAUUUAUUUCUUAAUAUGUUUGUAUUUCCGCAUCAUUCUUUUAUUAUUUUUUCAAUAUUUCAUGUUUCAAAUAUUUUCUUAAUCUUUGAACUAAAAAUAUAUAUAUUUAUUUCGUAAUUUUGUGUUCUCUAGGAUAAAUUUAGAAAAUGUGGCGCCAAAUGAAAGAAAAUGGCUGCGUGUUUCUUGUUGUAUUUACGGUCGCACUUCGUCCCACGUGUCCGGAAGUAGUUCCGGCUCUUCCACGGUGUUUGCUGACAGAACUCGUCCGCGGGAGCGGUAGCGGAGCUGCGGAGUCUUCAGCCCGGCUGCUGACACUGGAGGGCGGGCGAGGCGACUGGCCG